UACGGAGGGGGCGAGCGUUGUUCGGAGUUACUGGGCGUAAAGCGCACGUAGGCGGUGCGGUAAGUCAGGGGUUAAAGGCUGCAGCUCAACUGCAGUAAGGCCUUUGAUACUAUCGUGCUAGAGUGUCAGAGAGGAUGGCGGAAUUCACGGUGUAGCGGUGAAAUGCGUAGAUAUCGGGAGGAACACCAGUAGCGAAGGCGGCCAUCUGGCUGAUAACUGACGCUGAGGUGCGAGAGCGUGGGGAGCAAACAGG
Molecule: ribosomal RNA, 253 nt
Filed under: uncultured microorganism
Description: partial 16S ribosomal RNA
Rfam family: Bacterial small subunit ribosomal RNA
Source: RNAcentral